GGUAGGGAGGCCGAGUGUUAGGCAGCGGGUUGUAGCCCCGAAGACGGAGGUUUAAGUCCUCCCCUUAUCA
RNAcentral lists this transfer RNA (70 nucleotides) under Osteochilus pentalineatus. RNAcentral's name for it is "tRNA-Tyr". It matches the Rfam family "tRNA". From Rfam's summary of the family: Transfer RNA (tRNA) molecules are approximately 80 nucleotides in length. Their secondary structure includes four short double-helical elements and three loops (D, anti-codon, and T loops). The record is from RNAcentral. Lineage: Eukaryota; Metazoa; Chordata; Actinopteri; Cypriniformes; Cyprinidae.